UGGGAGCCUGGCGUGCUCUCAGUCCGCGGAAAGCGACUGAACGUAUACGAGAAACGAUUCUUCGCAUCAAUUCUGUCGCGCAUUCGUGGAGAUCGCGAUCGAGAUUCGUGGUGACACAUUGUGGACCGUUGGAAUAUCGUUGAUUGGAUUCUCGUGUGGCGGUCGGUGGCGAUUUUCUGUGACGCGGAUCGUACUGGAUCGAGAAAUGGAGUUCUUCAAUUAAUCGAUCAUACAUGGAGGAAUAUCGAUCGAUUAUGAUUCCAAAUACGUAUUGUCUUCGUGGAAUGGAAUUACUUGAACGAACCACAGAUGCUUCAGAAUUUCUGCGUGCCUGACAUCGCCAAUUGGGACUCACGAUGCUGGAACCAAUUCUUGGAAUAUCGACGGUAUGGUGGUUGGUGGUGUACGCCAGUAUUCUGCUGCUGCUGUCGCCCUUGGUGCUGAUCUUCAUCGUAUUGCUACCGAACUUCCCGAUAUUGUUGCUCAGAAGAAUGUGUUACAUUCCGAUCGAGUCUAUUUGACAAAUUGAAUCGUCGAUUCUUAGAGAUCGUACCUCUUUAAAUCCUUCUGAGUUUCAAUGUUAAAAUUUCCUACGGUAUAACGGUUCGGUAAGUCGAUGGUUGAAUUGCAGAAGACUGUUGAAAAAUGCAUUAUCGUGCUCGAAAAUUCAAAGCAUGCAAAGAGUUACGAUAGUCUUUGAUAAUUCUAUGAAAGUACAGAGUUAGCUUUAUGAUUGUAAUUUUGAGUAUUCAAUGAGAGAUUGUAGAUUCAAAACAAAAAAAAAAAAAAAAAAAAAAAAAAAAAAAAAUUAUAGUCCCCUAAUAGAUAUCUGUACAUAGAUAUGAUACCUGGGACAAUGACCAUGGAAUAAAUGGUCGCGGUUGAGAACAAACGUAUCUACUUUCCGUACAUUGUUCGAUCAAAUCAAAAGUAGUCGUAAAGUUAAUACUCUAUUAUGUACCUUAAUUUAAAGCGCUCUAAUUAGCUAUCUACUUCUUCAUUUAGGUAUACAAAUUAUUAGGACCAUUAUUCGUACCGUAUAAUUUACCAUUCCCUUUUUAUAUGACGAUUACGAUGUACCUUGAAACUGCCAAGUAUACGCACAAUUGAUUAGGAAUGAAAUAUAAAGCACUCUCUAUAGAAA
Long non-coding RNA from Bombus pascuorum, 1144 nucleotides. RefSeq lists it as uncharacterized. The transcript is spliced from 2 exons. The record is from RefSeq and is a predicted model, not a curated record. NCBI's taxonomy places the organism in Eukaryota, Metazoa, Arthropoda, Insecta, Hymenoptera, Apidae.